ACUUUGUCCGACAUCGUUUUAGCAAAAGCACAUGUAACCCACAUGGAUACAAGACCCAUGUAUGUCAUUUAGAGGGAGUUUACCGAGCCCCACCACAAGGUGGCGCGUUAGCCCUGCAUUCAUGGUCACGACCACAGAGCGCGUGCUCGUCCUGAGCCACUCCCGAGACGUUGACCGUGAGUGCCACUCGUUGAGUGAGCUGACGAACCUGGGAGAGAGCUUUGUGUGUAGAGAGAGAGAGAGCGGAGCUGCUUCAGCCGUGUAAGCCUCUGUUGGACUCCGAUUGUUUUUUUUGCUAGAUCAGAUAUUGAUCAGAUUCUGAACCUUUGGUGGUUCAGUGGCGAGCCAGGCGAUUGACAGCAGACGAAGAUCGGGAUCCACUCCGAAGACCAAAGACUUCUACUCAUUUUCCUUUGAUUCAGAUAAGAACGUUCACCAUAAAACCUACCCGGGUAGUAGAACGAACACAGGGUUAAAACCCCAUCUUCUGAUAUAGAAGAAAGGACACUUUUCUUUGAACUUUAUUUUAUUUUUUUAUUUUAUUGAAAGAGCUCUAUUUUUGUUUGUUCCUAAUUCACUGCACUGCAAAAUAGGAAUUGUUGGCAAGGCAAUAAAUGAUCACUGUUCAACUUC
Molecule: long non-coding RNA, 633 nt
Organism: Platichthys flesus (European flounder)
Lineage: Eukaryota; Metazoa; Chordata; Actinopteri; Pleuronectiformes; Pleuronectidae
Exons: 3
Source: RefSeq, a predicted model, not a curated record